Molecule: ribosomal RNA, 440 nt
Filed under: uncultured Clostridia bacterium
Lineage: Bacteria; Bacillati; Bacillota; Clostridia
Description: bacterial SSU rRNA
Rfam family: Bacterial small subunit ribosomal RNA
Source: RNAcentral
CCUACGGGGGGCAGCAGUGGGGAAUUUUGCGCAAUGGGGGCAACCCUGACGCAGCGACGCCGCGUGGGUGAUGAAGGCCUUCGGGUUGUAAAGCCCUGUCUAGGGGGAAGAUAGUGACGGUACCCCUGGAGGAAGCCCCGGCUAACUACGUGCCAGCAGCCGCGGUAAUACGUAGGGGGCGAGCGUUGUCCGGAAUUACUGGGCGUAAAGGGCGUGUAGGCGGCCAAGCAAGUCAGCUGUGAAACACCCCGGCUCAACCGUGGUUCUGCAGUUGAAACUGCGUGGCUUGAGUGCAGGAGAGGAGGGUGGAAUUCCUGGUGUAGCGGUGAAAUGCGUAGAUAUCAGGAGGAACACCGGUGGCGAAGGCGACCUUCUGGCCUGUUACUGACGCUGAGGCGCGAAAGCUAGGGGAGCGAACAGGAUUAGAUACCCUUGUAGUC